GGCUGGAUAGCUCAGCUGGUUAGAGUGUGGUGCUGAUAACACCAAGGUUGCAGGUUCGAUCUCUGUAUGGGGCA
Non-coding RNA from Podarcis lilfordi (Lilford's wall lizard), 74 nucleotides. Lineage: Eukaryota; Metazoa; Chordata; Lepidosauria; Squamata; Lacertidae. The record is from the annotation of a GenBank genome assembly.